This 497-nucleotide ribosomal RNA is filed under the name uncultured bacterium. RNAcentral describes it as "partial 16S ribosomal RNA". It matches the Rfam family "Bacterial small subunit ribosomal RNA", at positions 28 to 507 of the family's 1533-position model. The record is from RNAcentral.
GAUGAACGCUGGCGGCGUGCCUAAUACAUGCAAGUUGAGCGCUGAGACGAGGAGCUUGCUCCUCUUACGUUAGCGGCGGACGGGUGAGUAACACGUGGAUAACCUGCCUAUUAGCCUGGGAUAACUUCGGGAAACGGGAGCUAAUACCGGAUAAAAUAUUUAAACGCAUGGUUCAAUAGUGAAAGAUGCUUUUGCUUUACCUUAUAGUUGUAUCCGCGUCGAAUAAGCAAGUUGGUAAGGUAACGCCUUCCAAAGGCAACGAUGCGUAGCCGACCGGAGAGGGUGAGCGGCAACACGGGAACUGGAAAACGCCCCAGACUCCUCCGGGAGGAAGCAGUGGGGAAUCUUCGGCAAUGGCCGAAAUCUGGCCGGGGAAACGCGGCUGGGUGGAUGAGGUUCUUCGAAUCGAAAAACUCUUUUAUAAGGGAGAAACAAAGUUGGAGUUAACAAUGCACGUCGUGACGGUACCUAAUCAGAAAGCCACGGCUAACUACGUG